RNAcentral lists this ribosomal RNA (253 nucleotides) under uncultured bacterium. RNAcentral's name for it is "partial 16S ribosomal RNA". It matches the Rfam family "Bacterial small subunit ribosomal RNA", at positions 524 to 776 of the family's 1533-position model. The record is from RNAcentral.
UACGGAGGGUGCGAGCGUUGUCCGGAAUCACUGGGCGUAAAGGGCGCGUAGGUGGCUCGUUAAGGGGGCGGUGAAAGCCCGGGGCUCAACCCCGGGUCGGCCGUGCCGACUGGCGAGCUUGAGCGUACUAGAGGCAGGCGGAAUUCCGGGUGUAGCGGUGAAAUGCGCAGAUAUCGGGAGGAACACCAAUGGCGAAGGCAGCUCGCUGGGACGUUACUGACGCUGAGACGCGAAAGCGUGGGGAGCAAACAGG